CCCCACCUCCUUUUACUAAUGCUCCACCAAGAACACCUUUAAAUAAAGCUCCACCUGCACCUCCGCCGCCUUCUUACACUAGUGCUCCAACGGCACCACCCCCACCUCCUCCACCCCCUUUUAGUACAAGUCAGUCUCCAUCGCCUCUUUUUAGUAGAGCUCCACCACCACCACCACCCCUUCCUUCAUCAAGUGGAAGACCACCUCCACCUCCACCUCCUCCAAUGUCUAGAGCCCCUCCACCUCCACCCUUUCCUGGAGCACCUCCACCACCUCCACCACCACCUCCUGGUGGUGGUCGAGGCCCACCCGCUCCCCCUCCUCCUGGCGGUCGAGGCCCACCUCNNNNNNNNNNUCCCCCCCCCCCCCCCCCACCUCCUUUUCCAUAUCCUCCGCCACCCCCACCCCCACCUCCUUUUACUAAUGCUCCACCACCCCCACCCCCACCUCCUUUUACUAAUGCUCCACCAAGAACACCUUUAAAUAAAGCUCCACCUGCACCUCCGCCGCCUUCUUACACUAGUGCUCCAACGGCACCACCCCCACCUCCUCCACCCCCUUUUAGUACAAGUCAGUCUCCAUCGCCUCUUUUUAGUAGAGCUCCACCACCACCACCACCCCUUCCUUCAUCAAGUGGAAGACCACCUCCACCUCCACCUCCUCCAAUGUCUAGAGCCCCUCCACCUCCACCCUUUCCUGGAGCACCUCCACCACCUCCACCACCACCUCCUGGUGGUGGUCGAGGCCCACCCGCUCCCCCUCCUCCUGGUGGUCGAGGCCCACCUCCUCCCCCUCCUCCUGGUGGUCGAGGCCCGC
Molecule: long non-coding RNA, 816 nt
Filed under: Cicer arietinum (chickpea)
Lineage: Eukaryota; Viridiplantae; Streptophyta; Magnoliopsida; Fabales; Fabaceae
Description: long non-coding RNA (CARI_LNC002222)
Source: RNAcentral